UACGUAGGGGGCAAGCGUUGUCCGGAUUUAUUGGGCGUAAAGAGCGUGUAGGCGGCCAUACAGGUCCGUUGUGAAAACUGGAGGCUUAACCUCCAGACGUCGAUGGAAACCGUAUGGCUAGAGUCCGGAAGAGGAGAGUGGAAUUCCUGGUGUAGCGGUGAAAUGCGCAGAUAUCAGGAAGAACACCGGUGGCGAAGGCGGGUCUCUGGGCAGUAACUGACGCUGAGGAGCGAAAGCGUGGGGAGCGAACAGG
This 253-nucleotide ribosomal RNA is filed under the name uncultured bacterium. RNAcentral describes it as "partial 16S ribosomal RNA". It matches the Rfam family "Bacterial small subunit ribosomal RNA", at positions 524 to 776 of the family's 1533-position model. The record is from RNAcentral.